CCUACGGGUGGCAGCAGUGAGGAAUAUUGGUCAAUGGUCGGGAGACUGAACCAGCCAAGCCGCGUGAGGGAUGAAGGUACAGAGUAUCGUAAACCUCUUUUGUCAGGGAACAAAGGCGGGGACGUGUCCCCGGAUGAGUGUACCUGAAGAAAAAGCAUUGGCUAACUCCGUGCCAGCAGCCGCGGUAAUAAGGAGGAUGCGAGCGUUAUCCGGAUUUAUUGGGUUUAAAGGGUGCGCAGGCGGUCUGUUAAGUCAGCGGUAAAAGCCCGGGGAUCAACCCCGGCCCGCCGUUGAAACUGGCAGUCUCGAGUUGGAGAGAAGUAUGCGGAAUGCGCGGUGUAGCGGUGAAAUGCAUAGAUAUCGCGCAGAACUCCGAUUGCGAAGGCAGCAUGCCGGCUCCACACUGACGCUGAGGCACGAAAGCGUGGGUAUCGAACAGGAUUAGAUACCCCUGUAGUC
This 459-nucleotide ribosomal RNA is filed under the name uncultured bacterium. Its description in RNAcentral is "partial 16S ribosomal RNA". It matches the Rfam family "Bacterial small subunit ribosomal RNA", at positions 338 to 795 of the family's 1533-position model. The record is from RNAcentral.